Molecule: ribosomal RNA, 132 nt
Filed under: Klebsiella michiganensis
Lineage: Bacteria; Pseudomonadati; Pseudomonadota; Gammaproteobacteria; Enterobacterales; Enterobacteriaceae
Source: RNAcentral
CCUGGCAACGAUAGCGCGGUGGUCCCACCUGACCCCAUGCCGAACUCAGAAGUGAAACGCCGUAGCAGUGAAACGCCGUAGCGCCGAUGGUAGUGUGGGGUCUCCCCAUGUGAGAGUAGGGCAUUGCCAGGC